Long non-coding RNA from Etheostoma cragini (Arkansas darter), 138 nucleotides. RefSeq lists it as uncharacterized. The transcript has 3 exons. NCBI's taxonomy places the organism in Eukaryota, Metazoa, Chordata, Actinopteri, Perciformes, Percidae. The record is from RefSeq and is a predicted model, not a curated record.
CCAUUGAUAAAAUGAAGUAAUAGCAGUUGCACAUUUUUAUGAUAUGUAAACAUGAAUAAACUGAUUUGAGAACAGCAAAGACAACGUUGGCAGUAUUGACGGCAAAAUAGGCUGCAGAAUGUUUCCUUUUGUCUUGAC